CCUACGGGAGUCAGCAGUGGGGAAUAUUGGGCAAUGGGCGCAAGCCUGACCCAGCAACGCCGCGUGAAGGAAGAAGGCUUCCGGGUUGUAAACUUCUUUUGUCCGGGAAGAGUAGAAGACGGUACCUGACGAAUAAGCCACGGCUAACUACGUGCCAGCAGCCGCGGUAAUACGUAGGUGGCACGCGUUGUCCGGAUUUACUGGGUGUAAAGGGCGUGUAGCCGGGUUGACAAGUCAGAUGUGAAAUCCUGCGGCUUAACCGCAGAACUGCAUUUGAAACUGUUGAUCUUGAGUACUGGAGAGGCAGACGGAAUUCCUAGUGUAGCGGUGAAAUGCGUAGAUAUUAGGAGGAACACCAGUGGCGAAGGCGGUCUGCUGGACAGCAACUGACGGUGAGGCGCGAAAGCGUGGGGAGCAAACAGGAUUAGAUACCCGAGUAGUC
Molecule: ribosomal RNA, 442 nt
Filed under: uncultured bacterium
Lineage: Bacteria
Description: partial 16S ribosomal RNA
Rfam family: Bacterial small subunit ribosomal RNA
Source: RNAcentral